GUCUCCGAUGAUGAUGUUUUAUACUUUCGUUCUUCUGAAGUUGCAAUGUGGAAGAGCAAUUUGGAGACCUGAACUGAGGUGCU
This 83-nucleotide small nucleolar RNA is filed under the name Leersia perrieri. RNAcentral's name for it is "snoRNA snoZ159". It matches the Rfam family "Small nucleolar RNA Z159/U59". Rfam says of the family: This family consists of several snoRNA Z159 or U59 sequences which are members of the C/D class of snoRNA which contain the C (UGAUGA) and D (CUGA) box motifs. This family seems to be found exclusively in rice. The record is from Rfam by way of RNAcentral. Lineage: Eukaryota; Viridiplantae; Streptophyta; Magnoliopsida; Poales; Poaceae.